This 253-nucleotide ribosomal RNA is filed under the name uncultured bacterium. RNAcentral describes it as "partial 16S ribosomal RNA". It matches the Rfam family "Bacterial small subunit ribosomal RNA", at positions 524 to 776 of the family's 1533-position model. The record is from RNAcentral.
UGCGUAGGGACCAAGCGUUGUUCGGAUUUACUGGGCGUAAAGGGCGCGUAGGCGGCGUGUUAAGUCAGCUGUGAAAUCUCCGAGCUUAACUCGGAACGGUCAGCUGAUACUGAUGUGCUAGAGUGCAGAAGGGGCAAUCGGAAUUCUUGGUGUAGCGGUGAAAUGCGUAGAUAUCAGGAGGAACACCGGUGGCGAAGGCGGGUCUCUGGGCCGAUACUGACGCUGAGGAGCGAAAGCGUGGGGAGCGAACAGG